UAAAAGCAGACAAAACAAAUCCUGUCAAACAGCACGUAGAACAACAAUAUUUAUGAAAUAAACAAAAAUAAUGAAGUCAAUAAUACAAUAGACGAAAUUAUUAGCACAAACAAGAACCACAGAACAUGGAAACAAACAAUUAAAAGUUUUAACGCAACAAAUUAUAUUGUUACGGACGAAAAUUUUAGUAUAAAGUUUUAACAUUAACAAACAAUGGGAAGACGCAAAGAAAGCAAACGAAAAAGUUCCAUUACUCUAUCUGGAUUCUUCAGUCAUGUCGUGGGGUAUUUUGUAUAUUGUGUCCUCAGAACUAUACCCAUACUGUGCUAUCUUGCUAUAGGCAUCCUUUACAUCAUUUACUCAAGUGUUCACUAUUGGAUCUUCUGCUGUUAACACAUUACCAUGUAUAUCAGUACCUUCUUCAACAUAAAAACGUUCAAUAAGUCGCGUCUGUGCCUCCACAAGUUCAAGCUAAGAUAAUAGGAGUAAGAUUAUAAAAGUAGUAUUUUAUCCAAAUGCAAAUGCAGCUCUCAUCGCUAAAAUGUCCUUGCCAAAUUUUGUUUUUGGUUGUUUUGAUUAAAUAACAUAGGCCCUAAACUUA
This is a long non-coding RNA of Spodoptera frugiperda (fall armyworm), 601 nucleotides long. RefSeq lists it as uncharacterized. The transcript has 2 exons. The record is from RefSeq and is a predicted model, not a curated record. NCBI's taxonomy places the organism in Eukaryota, Metazoa, Arthropoda, Insecta, Lepidoptera, Noctuidae.